UACAGAGGUCUCAAGCGUUGUUCGGAUUCAUUGGGCGUAAAGGGUGUGUAGGUGGCGCGCUAAGUCGGGUGUGAAAUUUCGGAGCUUAACUCCGAAACUGCAUUCGAUACUGGCGUGCUUGAGGACUGGAGAGGAGACUGGAAUUCAUGGUGUAGCAGUGAAAUGCGUAGAGAUCAGGAGGAAGACCAGUGGCGAAGGCGGGGCUCUGGACAGUUCCUGACACUGAGACACGAAGGCCAGGGGAGCAAACGGG
Molecule: ribosomal RNA, 253 nt
Filed under: uncultured bacterium
Lineage: Bacteria
Description: partial 16S ribosomal RNA
Rfam family: Bacterial small subunit ribosomal RNA
Source: RNAcentral